Gambusia affinis (western mosquitofish) is the source of this 562-nucleotide non-coding RNA. The record is from the annotation of a RefSeq genome assembly. NCBI's taxonomy places the organism in Eukaryota, Metazoa, Chordata, Actinopteri, Cyprinodontiformes, Poeciliidae.
AGACAGCCUGUUGGAAAAGGACUGGAGUGGAUUGUCACAGAGAAGCUCUCACUGGAUCAUCUUCAACAUCAACAUGUUCUCUAUAUCUGUGCUGCUGCUGCUGGCUGCUGGAUCCUGUGUGAAGUGUGAACAGCUGACACAACCAGCCUCUUUGACUGUGCAGCCAGGUCAAACUCUGAGCAUCAGCUGUCAGGUCUCGUAUUCGUUGACCAGCUAUCCAACUGCUUGGAUCAGACAACCUGCAGGAAAAGCACUUGAAUGGAUGGGUAUAAUUUGGACUGGUGGAGACACGACAUAUGCCCAAAGUCUCCAAGGUCGUAUCGAAAUCACCAGAGACACAAAUAAGAAAAUAGUAGAUCUGAGACUGUCUACCAUGAAACCAGAAGAGUCUGCUGUGUAUUACUGUGCCAGACGCGCACUGUGGUUAAUAUGAGCAGCGAGACCAUACAAAAACUCCUUACAGUGCACAAGUGACAUUAGCCUGAAUAUAAAAACUGAGCAUCAUGAUAAAACUGUGGUUUGAGAUUUCCUGUUUCUCAGCUUCAUUGGCAGGUGGUUCAAC